Lontra canadensis (Northern American river otter) is the source of this 102-nucleotide long non-coding RNA. RefSeq lists it as uncharacterized. The transcript is spliced from 3 exons. The record is from RefSeq and is a predicted model, not a curated record. Lineage: Eukaryota; Metazoa; Chordata; Mammalia; Carnivora; Mustelidae.
AAUUCACUGGCAGAUUCCCAAAUCGGCCUGGGGUGCUAAAGCAUGGAGAGGAAUCUAAGUCUUCCCAUUACGAGAACAAAAUGGGGCACCUGGGUGGCUCAG